Molecule: small RNA, 31 nt
Filed under: Arabidopsis thaliana (thale cress)
Lineage: Eukaryota; Viridiplantae; Streptophyta; Magnoliopsida; Brassicales; Brassicaceae
Description: ATSL052970
Source: RNAcentral
AAAGAACUCUGUUUUAAGAAGAAGAAAAAAU